Molecule: ribosomal RNA, 494 nt
Filed under: uncultured bacterium
Lineage: Bacteria
Description: bacterial SSU rRNA
Rfam family: Bacterial small subunit ribosomal RNA
Source: RNAcentral
GAUGAACGCUAGCUACAGGCUUAACACAUGCAAGUCGAGGGGAAACGACAUCGGAAGCUUGCUUUUGAUGGGCGUCGACCGGCGCACGGGUGAGUAACGCGUAUCCAACCUGCCCACCACUUGGGAAUAACCUUGCGAAAGUAAGACUAAUACCCAAUGACGUCUCUAGAAGACAUCUGAAAGAGAUUAAAGAUUUAUCGGUGAUGGAUGGGGAUGCGUCUGAUUAGCUUGUUGGCGGGGUAACGGCCCACCAAGGCGACGAUCAGUAGGGGUUCUGAGAGGAAGGUCCCCCACAUUGGAACUGAGACACGGUCCAAACUCCUACGGGAGGCAGCAGUGAGGAAUAUUGGUCAAUGGACGAGAGUCUGAACCAGCCAAGUAGCGUGCAGGAUGACGGCCCUAUGGGUUGUAAACUGCUUUUAUAAGGGAAUAAAGUGAGUCUCGUGAGACUUUUUGCAUGUACCUUAUGAAUAAGGACCGGGCUAAUUUCCGUG